UUAAUAAAUAAAAAAAGAAAGAAAGAAAGAAAGAAAGAAAGAAAGAAAGAAAGAAAGAAAGAAAGAAAGAAAGAAAGAAAGAAAGAAAGAAAGAAAGAAAGAAAGAAAGAAAGAAAGAAAGAAAGAAAGAAAGAAAGAAAGAAGAUAGAAAGAAGAAGAAGAAGAAGAAGAAGAAGAAGAAGGAAGAAGGAAGAAGGAAGAAGGAAGGAGGAAGGAAGGAAGGAAGGAAGGAGGAGGAGGAGAAAGGAGAAAGAAAGAAAGAAAAAAGGAGGAGGAGGAGGAGGAGGAGGAGGAGGAUGAGGAGAGAGAGAGAGAGAGAGAGAGAGAGAGAGAGAGAGNNNNNNNNNNNNNNNGAAGGAAGGAAGGAAGGAAGGUAGGAAGGAAGGAAGGAAGGAAGGAAGGAAGGAAGGAAGGAAGGAAGGAAGUUAGGAAGGAAGGAAGGAAGGAAGGAAGGAAGGAAGGAAGGAAGGAAGAAGACAAUAUUAAAAGAUAUAUAAAAGAGGAGGGAGGAGAAAAGAGUAAGUUAAUC
RNAcentral lists this long non-coding RNA (529 nucleotides) under Monodelphis domestica (gray short-tailed opossum). RNAcentral describes it as "lncRNA (ENSMODG00000043148.1)". The record is from RNAcentral. Lineage: Eukaryota; Metazoa; Chordata; Mammalia; Didelphimorphia; Didelphidae.